UCUUGGUCAUUUAGAGGAAGUAAAAGUCGUAACAAGGUUUCCGUAGGUGAACCUGCGGAAGGAUCAUUAAAGAAAUUUAAUAAUUUUGAAAAUGGAUUUUUUUGUUUUGGCAAGAGCAUGAGAGCUUUUACUGGGCAAGAAGACAAGAGAUGGAGAGUCCAGCCGGGCCUGCGCUUAAGUGCGCGGUCUUGCUAGGCUUGUAAGUUUCUUUCUUGCUAUUCCAAACGGUGAGAGAUUUCUGUGCUUUUGUUAUAGGACAAUUAAAACCGUUUCAAUACAACACACUGUGGAGUUUUCAUAUCUUUGCAACUUUUUCUUUGGGCAUUCGAGCAAUCGGGGCCCAGAGGUAACAAACACAAACAAUUUUAUCUAUUCAUUAAAUUUUUGUCAAAAACAAGAAUUUUCGUAACUGGAAAUUUUAAAAUAUUAAAAACUUUCAACAACGGAUCUCUUGGUUCUCGCAUCGAUGAAGAACGCAGCGAAAUGCGAUACGUAAUGUGAAUUGCAGAAUUCCGUGAAUCAUCGAAUCUUUGAACGCACAUUGCGCCCCUUGGUAUUCCAGGGGGCAUGCCUGUUUGAGCGUCAUUUCCUUCUCAAACAUUCUGUUUGGUAGUGAGUGAUACUCUUUGGAGUUAACUUGAAAUUGCUGGCCUUUUCAUUGGAUGUUUUUUUUCCAAAGAGAGGUUUCUCUGCGUGCUUGAGGUAUAAUGCAAGUACGGUCGUUUUAGGUUUUACCGACUGCGGCUAAUCUUUUUUUAUACUGAGCGUAUUGGAACGUUAUCGAUAAGAAGAGAGCGUCUAGGCGAACAAUGUUCUUAAAGUUUGACCUCAAAUCAGGUAGGAGUACCCGCUGAACUUAAGCAUAUCAAUAAGCGGAG
This 878-nucleotide ribosomal RNA is filed under the name uncultured fungus. RNAcentral's name for it is "eukaryotic LSU rRNA". The stretch from base 432 to 585 matches the Rfam family "5.8S ribosomal RNA". Lineage: Eukaryota; Fungi. The record is from RNAcentral.